CCUACGGGUGGCAGCAGUGAGGAAUAUUGGUCAAUGGGCUUACGCCUGAACCAGCCAAGUCGCGUGAGGGAAGACUGCCCUAUGGGUUGUAAACCUCUUUUGUCAGGGAGCAAAUGGCGCUACGUGUAGCGUUAUCGAUAUUACCUGUAGAAAAAGCAUCGGCUAACUCCGUGCCAGCAGCCGCGUUAAUCCGGAGGAUGCGAGCUUUAUCCGGAUUUAUUGGGUUUAAAGGGUGCGUAGGUGGUUUUAUAUGUUAGCGGUGAAAUUGCGAUGCUCAACAUCGGGACUGCCGCUGAUACUGUAGGCCUAGAGUACGGAUGAGGCAGGCGGAAUGUGUAGUGUAGCGGUGAAAUGCAUAGAUAUUACGAAGAACACCGAUUGCGAAGGCAGCUUGCUAGACCGGAUCUGACACUGAUGCACGAAAGCGUGGGGAUCGAACAGGAUUAGAUACCCUUGUAGUC
This 461-nucleotide ribosomal RNA is filed under the name uncultured bacterium. RNAcentral's name for it is "partial 16S ribosomal RNA". It matches the Rfam family "Bacterial small subunit ribosomal RNA", at positions 338 to 795 of the family's 1533-position model. The record is from RNAcentral.